This 468-nucleotide ribosomal RNA is filed under the name uncultured bacterium. Its description in RNAcentral is "partial 16S ribosomal RNA". It matches the Rfam family "Bacterial small subunit ribosomal RNA", at positions 28 to 507 of the family's 1533-position model. The record is from RNAcentral.
GACGAACGCUGGCGGCGUGCUUAACACAUGCAAGUCGAACGGAAAGGCCCUGCUUUUGUGGGGUGCUCGAGUGGCGAACGGGUGAGUAACACGUGAGUAACCUGCCCUUGACUUUGGGAUAACUUCAGGAAACUUGGGCUAAUACCGGAUAGGAGCUCCUGCUGCAUGGUGGGGGUUGGAAAGUUUCGGCGGUUGGGGAUGGACUCGCGGCUUAUCAGCUUGUUGGUUGGGUAGUGGAUUACCAAGGCUUUGACGGGUAGCCGGCCUGAGAGGGUGACCGGCCACAUUGGGACUGGGAUACGGCACAGACUCCUACGGGAGGCAGCAGUGGGGAAUAUUGCACAAUGGGCGGAAGCAUGAUGCAGCAACGCCGCGUGCGGGAUGACGGCCUUCGGGUUGUAAACCGCUUUCGCCUGUGACGAAACGUGAGUGACGGUAAUGGGUAAAGAAGCACCGGCUAACUACGUG